RNAcentral lists this ribosomal RNA (523 nucleotides) under uncultured Eubacteriales bacterium. RNAcentral's name for it is "bacterial SSU rRNA". It matches the Rfam family "Bacterial small subunit ribosomal RNA", at positions 1 to 507 of the family's 1533-position model. The record is from RNAcentral. Lineage: Bacteria; Bacillati; Bacillota; Clostridia; Eubacteriales.
CUCCUCCGUGUGCGUCGUCGAGUCUCAGAGAGUUUGAUCCUGGCUCAGGAUGAACGCUGGCGGCGUGCCUAACACAUGCAAGUCGAACGGACUUAAUUUGAAACCUAGUGAUAAUUAAGUGAGUGGCGGACGGGUGAGUAACGCGUGGAUAACCUGCCGUAUGCAGGGGGAUACCAACUGGAAACAGUUGCUAAUACCGCAUAAGCGCACGGUGUCGCAUGACACAGUGUGAAAAGGUUUAACGGCAUACGAUGGAUCCGCGUCCGAUUAGCCAGUUGGCGGGGUAACGGCCCACCAAAGCGACGAUCGGUAGCCGGCCUGAGAGGGCGGACGGCCACAUUGGGACUGAGACACGGCCCAAACUCCUACGGGAGGCAGCAGUAGGGAAUUUUCGGCAAUGGGGGGAACCCUGACCGAGCAACGCCGCGUGAACGAAGAAGUUAUUCGUAAUGUAAAGUUCUUUUAUCAGGGAAGAAAGAGGAAUUUGACGGUACCUGAGGAAUAAGCUCCGGCUAACUACGUG